AAGCAUAUCAAUAAGCGGAGGAAAAGAAACCAACAGGGAUUGCCCUAGUAACGGCGAGUGAAGCGGCAACAGCUCAAAUUUGAAAUCUGGCGUCUUUGGCGUCCGAGUUGUAAUUUGCAGAGGGCGCUUUGGCAUUGGCAGCGGUCCAAGUUCCUUGGAACAGGACGUCACAGAGGGUGAGAAUCCCGUACGUGGUCGCUAGCCUCUACCGUGUAAAGCCCCUUCGACGAGUCGAGUUGUUUGGGAAUGCAGCUCUAAAUGGGAGGUAAAUUUCUUCUAAAGCUAAAUACUGGCCAGAGACCGAUAGCGCACAAGUAGAGUGAUCGAAAGAUGAAAAGCACUUUGGAAAGAGAGUUAAAAAGCACGUGAAAUUGUUGAAAGGGAAGCGCUUGCAGCCAGACUUGCCUGUAGUUGCUCAUCCGGGUUUCUACCCGGUGCACUCUUCUACAGGCAGGCCAGCAUCAGUUUGGGCGGUUGGAUAAAGGUCUCUGUCACGUACCUCCUCUCGGGGAGAUCUUAUAGGGGAGACGACAUGCAACCAGCCUGGACUGAGGUCCGCGCAUCUGCUAGGAUGCUGGCGUAAUGGCUGUAAGCGGCCCGUCUUGAAACACGGACCAAGGAGUCUAACAUCUAUGCGAGUGUUUGGGUGUCAAGCCCGAACGCGUAAUGAAAGUGAACGGAGGUGGGAACCCUUUGGGGUGCACCAUCGACCGAUCCUGAUGUCUUCGGAUGGAUUUGAGUAAGAGCAUAGCUGUUGGGACCCGAAAGAUGGUGAACUAUGCUUGAAUAGGGUGAAGCCAGAGGAAACUCUGGUGGAGGCUCGCAGCGGUUCUGACGUGCAAAUCGAUCGUCAAAUUUGGGCAUAGGGGCGAAAGACUAAUCGAACUAUCUAGUAGCUGGUUCCUGCCGA
Molecule: ribosomal RNA, 910 nt
Filed under: Stagonosporopsis helianthi
Lineage: Eukaryota; Fungi; Ascomycota; Dothideomycetes; Pleosporales; Didymellaceae
Description: LSU rRNA
Rfam family: Eukaryotic large subunit ribosomal RNA
Source: RNAcentral